Molecule: ribosomal RNA, 497 nt
Filed under: uncultured bacterium
Lineage: Bacteria
Description: partial 16S ribosomal RNA
Rfam family: Bacterial small subunit ribosomal RNA
Source: RNAcentral
GAUGAACGCUGGCGGCGUGCCUAAUACAUGCAAGUCGAACGCUGAAGGAAGGAGCUUGCUCUUUCCGGAUGAGUUGCGAACGGGUGAGUAACGCGUAGGUAACCUGCCUGGUAGCGGGGGAUAACUAUUGGAAACGAUAGCUAAUACCGCAUAACAGUAGAUAUUGCAUGAUAUCUGCUUGAAAGGGGCAAUUGCUCCACUACCAGAUGGACCUGCGUUGUAUUAGCUAGUUGGUGAGGUAACGGCUCACCAAGGCGACGAUACAUAGCCGACCUGAGAGGGUGAUCGGCCACCCUGGGACUGAGACACGGCCCAGACUCCUACGGGAGGCAGCAGUAGGGAAUCUUCGGCAAUGGACGGAAGUCUGACCGAGCAACGCCGCGUGAGUGAAGAAGGUUUUCGGAUCGUAAAGCUCGGUUGUAAGAGAAGAACGAGUGUGAGAGUGGAAAGUUCACACUGUGACGGUAGCUUACCAGAAAGGGACGGCUAACUACGUG